This 443-nucleotide ribosomal RNA is filed under the name uncultured bacterium. RNAcentral describes it as "bacterial SSU rRNA". It matches the Rfam family "Bacterial small subunit ribosomal RNA", at positions 958 to 1397 of the family's 1533-position model. The record is from RNAcentral.
AACGCGAAGAACCUUACCAGUCCUUGACAUGCGGAGUAUGGGUUUGAGAGAUCAGAUCCUUCGGUUCGGCCGGCUCCUGCACAGGUGCUGCAUGGCUGUCGUCAGCUCGUGUCGUGAGAUGUUGGGUUAAGUCCCGCAACGAGCGCAACCCUCAUCUUCAGUUGCCCCCGGGUCAGGCCGGGCACUCUGAAGAAACCGCCGGUGACAAGCCGGAGGAAGGCGGGGAUGACGUCAAGUCCUCAUGGCCCUUACGGACUGGGCUACACACGUACUACAAUGGUGGUGACAGUGGGCUGCGAAGUCGCAAGACGGAGCCAAUCCCCAAAAGCCAUCUCAGUUCAGAUUGCACUCUGCAACUCGAGUGCAUGAAGUUGGAAUCGCUAGUAAUCGCAGAUCAGCACGCUGCGGUGAAUACGUUCCCGGGCCUUGUACACACCGCACGA